GCGCGUGUGGUGAAAUUGGUAGACACGCUAGACUUAGGAUCUAGUGCCGCGAGGCAUGGGGGUUCAAGUCCCUCCACGCGCACCA
This 85-nucleotide transfer RNA is filed under the name bacterium. Its description in RNAcentral is "tRNA-Leu". It matches the Rfam family "tRNA". From Rfam's summary of the family: Transfer RNA (tRNA) molecules are approximately 80 nucleotides in length. Their secondary structure includes four short double-helical elements and three loops (D, anti-codon, and T loops). Further hydrogen bonds mediate the characteristic L-shaped molecular structure. tRNAs have two regions of fundamental functional importance: the anti-codon, which is responsible for specific mRNA codon recognition, and the 3' end, to which the tRNAs corresponding amino acid is attached (by aminoacyl-tRNA synthetases). tRNAs cope with the degeneracy of the genetic code in two manners: having more than one tRNA (with a specific anti-codon) for a particular amino acid; and 'wobble' base-pairing, i.e. permitting non-standard base-pairing at the 3rd anti-codon position. The record is from RNAcentral. RNAcentral also lists the same sequence under 2 other names.